RNAcentral lists this ribosomal RNA (252 nucleotides) under uncultured bacterium. Its description in RNAcentral is "partial 16S ribosomal RNA". It matches the Rfam family "Bacterial small subunit ribosomal RNA", at positions 524 to 775 of the family's 1533-position model. The record is from RNAcentral.
UACGAAGGGGGCUAGCGUUGCUCGGAAUCACUGGGCGUAAAGCGCACGUAGGCGGAUUGCUAAGUCAGGGGUGAAAUCCUGGAGCUCAACUCCAGAACUGCCUUUGAUACUGGCGACCUUGAGUCCGGGAGAGGUGAGUGGAACUGCGAGUGUAGAGGUGAAAUUCGUAGAUAUUCGGAAGAACACCAGUGGCGAAGGCGGCUCACUGGCCCGGUACUGACGCUGAGGUGCGAAAGCGUGGGGAGCAACAGG